UUUUAAUUUUUUUUCCUCCCCCGCCAGAUAUUUGCAAUGUUGCCUGUCAUAAAAUCAACAUACAUUCCCUACAAAGUUGAGGAUCAAGUGGAUUGUUUACAAGUCAGACCAAAAAGGUCUAUUCUGCCAUACCCUGGGCGUGAUAUUGAUGAUCCUUUCACAGUUUUCCAGAAUAACGGGUUGAAGAUGGCAACAAAUUUGAAUGUCAGAGUGCCCACUUGCCUCAAAUAUAUGG
Hippocampus comes (tiger tail seahorse) is the source of this 235-nucleotide long non-coding RNA. RefSeq lists it as uncharacterized. The record is from RefSeq and is a predicted model, not a curated record. The transcript is spliced from 2 exons. Lineage: Eukaryota; Metazoa; Chordata; Actinopteri; Syngnathiformes; Syngnathidae.